Molecule: transfer RNA, 76 nt
Filed under: Methylomirabilis sp. (SeqCode)
Lineage: Bacteria; Methylomirabilota (SeqCode); Methylomirabilia (SeqCode); Methylomirabilales (SeqCode); Methylomirabilaceae (SeqCode)
Also listed under: 1 other name
Description: tRNA-Ala
Rfam family: tRNA
About the family: Transfer RNA (tRNA) molecules are approximately 80 nucleotides in length. Their secondary structure includes four short double-helical elements and three loops (D, anti-codon, and T loops).
Source: RNAcentral
GGGGCUGUGGCGCAGUUGGGAGCGCGCGUGACUGGCAGUCACGAGGCCAGGGGUUCGAAUCCCCUCAGCUCCACCA